Molecule: ribosomal RNA, 467 nt
Filed under: uncultured bacterium
Lineage: Bacteria
Description: bacterial SSU rRNA
Rfam family: Bacterial small subunit ribosomal RNA
Source: RNAcentral
GACGAACGCUGGCGGCGCGCCUAACACAUGCAAGUCGAACGAGCGAGAGAGAGCUUGCUUUCUCAAGCGAGUGGCGAACGGGUGAGUAACGCGUGAGGAACCUGCCUCAAAGAGGGGGACAACAGUUGGAAACGACUGCUAAUACCGCAUAAGCCCACGGCUCGGCAUCGAGCAGAGGGAAAAGGAGCAAUCCGCUUUGAGAUGGCCUCGCGUCCGAUUAGCUAGUUGGUGAGGUAACGGCCCACCAAGGCAACGAUCGGUAGCCGGACUGAGAGGUUGAACGGCCACAUUGGGACUGAGACACGGCCCAGACUCCUACGGGAGGCAGCAGUGGGGAAUAUUGCACAAUGGGGGAAACCCUGAUGCAGCGACGCCGCGUGGAGGGAAGAAGGUCUUCGGAUUGUAAACUCCUGUUGUUGAGGAAGAUAAUGACGGUACUCAACAAGGAAGUGACGGCUAACUACGUG